AGCAGCCGCGGUAAUUCCAGCUCCAAUAGCGUAUAUUAAAGUUGUUGUGGUUAAAAAGCUCGUAGUUGAACCUUGGGCCUGGCUGGCCGGUCCGCCUCACCGCGUGCACUGGUCCGGCCGGGCCUUUCCCUCUGCGGAACCCCAUGCCCUUCACUGGGUGUGGCGGGGAAACAGGACUUUUACUUUGAAAAAUUAGAGUGCUCAAGGCAGGCCUAUGCUCGAAUACAUUAGCAUGGAAUAAUAGAAUAGGACGUGUGGUUCUAUUUUGUUGGUUCCUAGGACCGCCGUAAUGAUUAAUAGGGGCAGUCGGGGGCAUCAGUAUUCAAUUGUCAGAGGUGAAAUUCUUGGAUUUAUUGAAGACUAACUACUGCGAAAGCAUUUGCCAAGGAUGUUUUCAUUAAUCAGGGACGAAAGUUAGGG
This 420-nucleotide ribosomal RNA is filed under the name uncultured Paraglomus. RNAcentral describes it as "SSU rRNA". It matches the Rfam family "Eukaryotic small subunit ribosomal RNA", at positions 569 to 995 of the family's 1831-position model. Lineage: Eukaryota; Fungi; Glomeromycota; Glomeromycetes; Paraglomerales; Paraglomeraceae. The record is from RNAcentral.